Hydra vulgaris (swiftwater hydra) is the source of this 1127-nucleotide long non-coding RNA. RefSeq lists it as uncharacterized. NCBI's taxonomy places the organism in Eukaryota, Metazoa, Cnidaria, Hydrozoa, Anthoathecata, Hydridae. The record is from RefSeq and is a predicted model, not a curated record.
CGGCAUAGCAGAGCAGAUUGGCAGAGCAGAUCAUUGUAGUGUUGAUAGCGGCAGAGCAGAUUAUCCAAUCAGCCGUUUUUUAAUGUGUGAUCUGCUAAUUAUUAUUUGGCAGAUCACACAUUAUUCAAAUAUUAUUUGGCAGAUCACGCAUUAUUAAAAUGUAAUUUUUCAGAUCACAAAAUUAAUUCACACAUAAUGUGUCGAACAUUUUGAAUCUUUCAUUAUGAUUAAAAGUUAGAAUUUCUUAUGAAUCUUAAAUUAUGUAAUAAAUAGUUUAGAAGAGAUAAAAGAAAUUUGUUUUUAGUAUUAUAAUGUGGUUAAUGAAGCAGCUAAAAAGUCCUUCCAGCCAGUUGCAACAACAAUUAAAGCAGCAAAAACAAUUAAAGCAGGAAACAAUUAAAAAAACAAUUAAAGCAGGAAACAGCCAAGUACACAUGCAAGUGAUUGUUAUGAGGACUGCAAAAAUUUUUAAAUAUCACAAACUGAAGAAGGUAUUGAUAAUCAGCGGAUAAUAAAAAAAGCAAAAGUACUGAUUAUACAAAUCUUUUAAAGUUGAGGAAGAAUUUUAGGUUAAUGCUAAUGCAAAAGUUAAACGAUCACUACUUCUACAGGCACCUUGUCUCAAGCAUUCAAUUGAAUUCUAAGAUAUCUUUAUUCAAAUCAAGUGUGACUACUAUACCAAAAGACUGAAAAUGGAUCAAUCAACUAACCCAUCCGUACUUGCAAAGUCUCCUUUUUUGUUAGCUCGAAAAUUGAGUUCUAAAAUGCAUUAUUCACCUAACUACUAUAUCAAAGCACAAACUAAUGGAUUGAUCAAGAAGGGCACUGCAGUUGUCCUGCAGUUAUGCAACUUAUCAACCCAUAACUACGAUAGCUACAAGUUUUUUUAAUAAGGAAAAAGAUUGUAUGACUUCGGUAUCUGCAAUAUGGUACCGUGCAUUGGUUCUUAUCUUAGAAUGGCUCCCUUCCGUAUAGGUGGAAAUAGGAAAGGUUAUGUCCUUUUUUCUAAUUCUUAAGACAAAGAGGCUUAAUCAGUUCAAGCAAAGAUGACAAUGAUCAUUAUAGAGCCUAUCUUGAUGACGAAUACGAUAAUGCAUAUAAUAAUAAAUAAAAUGAUUUUACUUGUA